Molecule: long non-coding RNA, 304 nt
Filed under: Brassica napus (rape)
Lineage: Eukaryota; Viridiplantae; Streptophyta; Magnoliopsida; Brassicales; Brassicaceae
Description: long non-coding RNA (BNAP_LNC026794)
Source: RNAcentral
AGCUUUCUUAGCCCGCUUCGGGUUGACCGCGACGGUGUUCCAAGUUUGUCGUAGUUUAUGCUCGGACAAGAAGCAGAGCCUAGACUGUUUCUGGCAUCCCCAGGUUACCGCUGUUCCGUUUGGUGUUGGGAACUUGAUGCCAAGGUGAUAAGUCGACGGUACCGCUUUCAUGGCAUUGAUCCAAGGAGUUCCCAUGAUGACAUUUUAGAUGGCCGGGUUAUCGACUACCGCGAAGUCGACGAUUUUUUUCACCUCUUUACCAUCACUGGGAGUUUGAUUGAUCCGAGGGUCAUUGACGUUGCAC